GUCAGCAAUGUACAUGAAAAAAAGUCCAGCAUAAUGUUUGGGGAUAAACCCUAUUCGUAGGGUGUUGUCUUAACUAGUCUAAUAUAUAUUAGAUAUCUUAAAGGUGCUGGAUUAGCUGGUCUCCGGGCGAUUUAGGCAACCGGCAUCCAAUAUAAUCUUGCCACGUUGUUUGGUUACAGUGGAUCAGCUACCAGGCUAGCUUAUCCUUCCAUGGGCCAACUGAUUUCUUAGCCCAGUGGUCGACGGCCUUUUAGUGGUCAUCGCAGCAUCGGUGCCGUGGUCUUCCACCGUCCUGGAUUUCCUGUGCGCUGAUCCAUCUGCGAGUCGCCUCUAUCCUCUCGACGCGUGUCGUCCUUAUCCAGCCAUCAGGGACGCCUCCAACGCCCAGCGGCCCAGCCCCACAUGGUGGCCCCUCUCUCAAUCUCCACGGUAGUGCUCUGCCAUGGAGUACAGUGGCGAUGGGGUUGGCUGCUGCUCUGCCAUAGUGUACGGCGGCAACGGGUUGGCUGCUGCUCGCUGCUCCACUACGCAGAGAACCCCAUGAGGACCAAGGGAGGCUGUGCUCUUGGAUUGGUGUCUCUUCCACAUCGCAUCUUGUUUUGGGGGGAGGGAGGGGGGCAUCUUUGCCUCCCUCAGCUACUGCUCACUGAGUUGCGCGGCCAACCCUUACCGAGACGUGGUUUUGCUGCCCGCCGAGCCAUCCACAUUGCUCCUUCCACUUCUCCGCAUCCGCUCGUCGUCCUCGUCCUCUCCGCAUCCGCAUCUCUUCCCAAUAUUUUUGUUCUUCACUGUAGCUGCACGUACAGCGAGCUUGAAUGGCAUCACAUACUCCCCAUCCCGUCCUCAGCAUCGGCGUCCCACAUGGCAUCGCAACGUCGCCUUCUUCUUCGGCAUCAGGUCAACUCGGUGGCUCACUGCUAGCACAGAUGGCGGGCGGGGAGUGGAUCUUUCAGUUCUUCCUCAGCGACUUGCCCGACGGUGUUGCUAGCUGACGCAGCCAUUUCCGCAAUGGCAGAAAUCGGUGUACGAUCUACCUAUUCUCCUCCGGUACAGUCUCCCUUCUCUUAUCUCUCAUCUAACAUAGAUUCAAGUGGUUCUGAAUUUAGGCUAAAUUUAUCAGAUGUUUGUUUGCGAAGUUCGUUUCAAGAUUCGGAUAGAACCCAAUACAUUUCCGAAUAUUGGUGCCUCGAGAUUUCUCUCUAUUUUUUUAAUUUUGCCUUCUGAUAAUUUGAACUCUGAGCCAAUUCCUCUACCCUCUGAUGGAAAGAGAGUUGAUGUGAUGAGGCAAGACAGGAACUGGUGAGCUUCCCUGAAACCUGUUGAUUCCCUGGCAACAUAGAUGUUUUAUUAGGAUGAGUUCUCACAUUAAUAGGUUCCUUCCAUUAGGGCUUUUAAUGUUCUAAACUUUUGAUUGGUGACAGAAGUUACAAUUACUCUCAUCCUCUCCUGCGAAUGAGAUUCUAUUCAUUUUUCUGUUCCUGUAUUUUAAGCAUGUCAGUAUGCCACUACUUUGUUGUCCAAAACUGAACUCCAAAUAAAGGUCAAGGUGGCCAGCUUAGGAUUGAAACAAGUUUAGCAGAAUCUUUUUAAACAAAUUAUUUGGUGUUUUUCAGCAUACAGGUAAACAGACGGCUAGACUUCAUGAUAAUUCAUGCUAAUGUUGGGAGGGGCAAUCCACUAUGCUCAGCUCAUGGAUCUUCAGGAAUGGAGCUGCCAGCAUAUAAAUGACAAACAAAUACAAGAUUCUCCUCAAGGACUGUAACAAGAUUGAAGCUCAUGCUUAGCUGGAAAACCAUUUGAAAUACCUAUGGAAUUAUCCCUACACAUGUGUUAACCAUGAUGAUCUUUUCUUUUCGAAAUACUGUAAGGCAGGUAGAUCCAUCAUCUUUGUCAACAACAACUGCCUUAGCUAUACUAGAAUACGAGGGGCAUCUAAGAGAAAAAUACAAAUAUUCAAGACUCUCAUACUAGUUUGGUAGGUGAUGUAUAUUUGUUUCUUACAUUUACAUCGUCCAUUGAUUCACAGUGGAUACAUUACUUGUUGCAUUUAGAUGUCUCUUUUCAGGAACCUUUAUAUUUAAGUUCCUUUACAUGGCUGUUUUAAGAGUCCACUGCUUUGAUUAGUAACAUAACAUUGACUGAAAUGAGGAUUUGUUCAUUAAUUUGACGUUUCUUCUACUGUCUCGGUAACAUCUCUCCAUGUGCUGACUUAAUUCUCCAAACUUUGAGUUCUACUGACUUAGUAACAUCUUUCAAUAUGCUGAGUUAAUUCUCCAAACUAUUAACUUAAGAAUGAUUUAACUUGGCACAUAUUUUUCUUAGUGUUCAAGAAAUGAUUUUAGCAGAUGAUUGCCAUUGCAUUUGGUGAUCUAAAUUGACUAAAUUGCUGAGGCAGAUAUGUUUCUUGCACAGAAAGCUCUCAUAGUGAAGAGUCAAGUCUCUUCGUAAAACUAAUGAAUCUGAAAUGUAGUCGUUUUUUCAUACCAUAAUUGAUAAAUGCACUACUGUUGUCUCAUCUGACUGGGUUUUUGGCCAGUUCUAGAGUUUACAGGUAUUAUCUUAAUACUGCAGUUCUCGCAAACAAAAUUACGAGAAAUUUAACCAUGUACCUUUUUCAGUUAGUUGACAGAACGAAUUGCAUCUUGUGCCCAUAGAUAUUGGAUGAAUCAUAGUAUGCUUGUCAUCCCUGCUAUGUAUUGUGAAAUUAUUGUGAAAUUAUUUUUUAAAUUAUUAACUAUCUAGAACUGUUUCUGGGAACUUAAGUUAUUAAAAAAACUAUUCAGGUUAAAUAAUGUUCUUGGUAGGUACACUAGGAAUUGAGUAUUGUUAGUAGGUAAUCCACUUAGACAAACCUUUGCAUUAAUCGUAUAUUUCUUUCUAUGUGUUACAGUCUUACAUGCUACAAUACCGCGCAGCGUAGCGCGCGAGCUCACUCUAGUAUAUAUAACGGACUAAAAUGUUUCUAGAACAAUGCCACUCUAAUGUACAGAAUAGAGUUAAGGGCAAUUAUGUAAUUUCUCGUUACAUAUGAAUAAAAAGAACCCCGAGAGGUAAAGGUGGA
This is a non-coding RNA of Oryza sativa Japonica Group (Japanese rice), 3061 nucleotides long. The record is from RefSeq and is a predicted model, not a curated record. Lineage: Eukaryota; Viridiplantae; Streptophyta; Magnoliopsida; Poales; Poaceae.